Long non-coding RNA from Astatotilapia calliptera (eastern happy), 1533 nucleotides. The record is from Ensembl. NCBI's taxonomy places the organism in Eukaryota, Metazoa, Chordata, Actinopteri, Cichliformes, Cichlidae.
UCUUUUUCAGGUUCAGGUAAGUACCAAAUUAUGUUUAAUUUUUACCAAAGUUGUGUUUUAUUUGUCCUGUUUUUUUAGGUUUCUGUGUUUUAAUAAAAUUUGUCUUUGCUCAAUGAAUUUAGUCUCUGUGUCGUUUUUAAUUCCAAUUUUUAGGCUUUUAAACUGUUUUUAUCCAUAAAUUAUCCAAUUUUUAGGUUAUACAUUUAUGACAUUCCAAUUUUUAGGUUUGAAUUUUUAGGCCAGUAAAUCAAUAUGUAAAUGAAAAAAACAUCAAAAGAAAUCCCCCCCCAAAAAAAAAAAAACUAAAACAACAAACAAAAACACUUUUUAGUGCUGACGCAUGGCUGUAGCUACGUUUCGGCUGGGCUGUGCCUUCUUCAGGCUGUGCACAUGCGUCGCUGGCUAAAUUAAAAUGAAGAGACUCUUCUCUGCCCCUCCUUUUAUAGUGUGCUGUGUCUCCUCCCACUCUUGGGAUUUCUGUUUUAUUGGUUUUUUUUGUUCAGUAUCUUUAAUGUUUGUCCUGUGUUAGCUUAGGCUUUUUUUGUUUUUAUUAUUUUUCUGGCACCCCCUUCUGUACUGUCUUUUCCAUUAUCCAUCCUUAUUUUUCUAUUGUUAUGGCACCCCCUUCUUAUUUGUCCUUUCCGUUAAUUUUUUCGUGAUUUUGUUCCUUUCCUGUGAUUGUCCUAUUCAUCCUGCUCUGUCCUUGUUAUGAGAUCCUCCGUGACAUUUUGUGCUAUGUUGCGUUUUAUUGUGUUGUCAAGUGGAAUUUGUGCACACUUUCCCGAGGUUUCUUCCCAUCAUCUGGCACCUGGGAGUUUUUCCUUGUCUUCCUAGAGAGCCAGCUUGGCCUGGGUCAGGAGCUCUAUCACAGCAAAACAACAACAAAAAGACUUUUAUGAAAGAACGACUUGAAUUUUGUGUUAUUUAAAAACACGUAUUUAAUUAUUAUUCAGUGUUGUGUGUUAUAGCAAACUGCCAGCCUUAAACCUGAAAAAAAACUCACGACUUUAUAGAACUAGACAAUGCAUUUCCUGAAGAAAAUUUCAAUGUAAUGAUUAUUUAUUAAUACGUUUUGUAUUCAGUAUUUAGUUUUAUAAAGUAAAUGCUGACCACACAAGUUUCCUUCUGGAUUAAUAAAGUUUUAAAAAAUAUCUGUAAAGUGUUAUGAAAUAUAAAAAUGUUUUUGUUGAGAAUAUGUCCACACAAAAUAAUUAAAUAGGGCAUUUUCUGUUAUUUAACAGAGGUUUUCUGUUUUAUAAUUACACUGCAGUUUGGACGACGAGCUUCUGGAACGUUUUUAGGCAUUUGUUCACAUUUUGCAAUUUAAGCCCCAAGAAACAUAAAGAUUUUCUUCUUUUAUUCCAGCAGCACUCCAUUAUCAUGUACACUGUAAAAUCUAACAUUGUGUUUAAUUAAAAAAUGUAAGGAUAUACUAAACUCAAUUUUUAUCAGUUUGUUUAAAUAAGUUACCAGUAGUUUUUAUUCAAAAAGCUGAUCAACCCAGUUUAUUUGAGUUGUCUUGAAUUGGAAAAA